AACCCUCGUUCCAUGUUGCCAGCACGUYGUGGUGGGGAYUCAUGGGAGACUGCCGGGGUCAACUCGGAGGAAGGUGAGGACGACGUCAAAUCAUCAUGCCCCUUAUGUCUUGGGCUUCACGCAUGCUACAAUGGCCGGUACCGAUGGGUUGCGAUACUGUGAGGYUGGAGCUAAUCCCAAAAACKCCGGUCUCAGUUCGGAUUGGGGUCUGCAACUCYGACCCCAUGAAGUCGGAGUCGCUAGUAAUCGCAGAUCAGCAACGCUGCGGUGAAUACGUUCCCGGGCCUUGUACACACCGCCCGUCAAGUCACGAAAGUUGGUAACACCCGAAGCCGGUGGCCUAACCYUKGGGGGGAGC
This 358-nucleotide ribosomal RNA is filed under the name Micrococcus sp. RNAcentral describes it as "bacterial SSU rRNA". Lineage: Bacteria; Bacillati; Actinomycetota; Actinomycetes; Micrococcales; Micrococcaceae. The record is from RNAcentral.